CUGUCCCCACCAAGUCCUCCAGCCAUCUGCACCUGGAUUGUGUCCCCUCCAGGGAAAGUGGAGCUGUUGGUGCUCCUCACCCUGACUCCUUUCACUUGUAUUUUGGGUCCCAUUGCUUCUUGCACAUUCCUGCAACCAUCUCUUGUCUUCUGUGUCCUGAAUUUCUGCCUGUUGGCCUGCAGAAGGCUCCGUCACCCAUCCUGAAAAGCAAGUUCUCCCUCAGUGCAGACUCCCUUCUAGCUUCUGCCACAUCCCUCUCUUCUGCCUCUUUCUGCUUAGCCCUACGCACUCAGUCCUUCAUCCUGUUCCCCAUGGAGGCUGUUCUUUUCUUGCUGUAUCUUGCUGCUUUCUUGCCAAAUCCAGUGGCCGGUUCUGUUUUCCUUUCAUUGGAUCUCCCAGUGGAGGUGGUUGAGGUGGUUGUUUUUGGCCUUUUUACAGCUUUCUCCUCUAAGCUUCUGUGCCACUAACGUCUCCUGAUUGUUUUCCUCCUACUUCAUGAGCUGGUCCUUCUUGGCCUUUUUGGCUGGAUCCUUCUUUGAAUAUUGAUCACCCACCAGGUUCCUCUCUAACUGCACUAACCCUUUCCUCUCCCCGCCACGUGACUUCUCCCAGCCCUGGGUUUUCCAUUCCACCGUACAUCACUGACCGCCUUGAACCACACAGGUCCAGAGGGCACCUAGGUUCUUCCCCCUCCUCCCCUACCUGCUGUUCCCUCAUCUUAACCAUCACUACGCAGUUACUCCAGCCUCUCACGUGGAAGUCAGCUGUCUUUCCCUCCUUGAGCCUAUUAAGUCUUGUAAGUUCUACUUCUAAAAUAUGUCUCAGGCCAGGCUACUUGCCGUCACCUCCACUGCUACCAUCCCGAUCAUGCCACCAUCAUCCUGGCAUCUGCUCCAGCCUCGACCCACACAGCAGCCUGAGAAAGCUUUUAAAAAUAUAAAUCAGAUCGUGUCCCUCCCCUGCAGAAAACUUUCUUGGGUCUUCCAUUGGCGCUCAGAUUAAAUUCUAGAAUUCUCACGCGGGCUGACGACAUUCCCUGGGAUUGGGAUCCCAUCCCACCCUCAUUUGUUGACUCUGUUUCAUUUGUUGCUGCACACUUCUGGGCCUCAAAUACCCAGGUUCUCUCCAGCUUCCAGGCCUUGGAGGUUGUUAGCCAUUGUUUCUCUGCCUGGGUUUUUCUACCCUGGAUCCUGGCAAGCUACCUUUCUUCACACAGGACAAGAAUCCCUGAGGAGACCUUCCCUAAGCCCCUAGGCCAAGGCAUCCCCUUUUGUGUUCUUGCCAUCACUUGACCUCCUACCUUGCUGCCCUUCAAAGCCGGUCACCACCCACAAUGCCUUUUCCCCUGUCGAUCACUCACCCUGUCUUUCUCCUCAGUUCUGUAUCCCCAGUGCUCAGCACAGUACCUCACACACAGGCACUGAGCAGAUAAACGUCUGUUGAAUGAAUGAAAGGAGACUAUCUGAGCUCAGGCUGCUUUAACGAAACACCGCAGACUGGUUUCUCACAGUCCUGGAUGCUGGGAAGUCCAAGAGCAAGACGCUGGCAGAUUCAGUUCCUGGUGAGGGCCCUCUUCCUGGCCUGUAGACAGCUGACUUCUUGCUACAAAUUCACAUGACCUUUCCUCAGUACCUGCUCGGAGAGGGACAUUUCUUUCUUCCUCUUCUUAUAAGCCACUAAUCCCAUCAUAUGGGCCCCACCUCAUGACCUAAUCUAAAUCUAAUUACCUUCCAAAGGUCCACCUCCAAAUGCCAUCACACUGGGGUUGGGGCUUCAACAUACGAAUUCUGGGGGGACAGAAACAUUCAGCCCAUAACAGGGACCAAUGAUAACAUCCAACUCUAGUUUACCAGAAAGAAUAGGUAAGCUGAAGAACAACCAUGCAGCAGGAGGACAAAGAGAACCUCUUGGCCUUGCUCCCCUCUCUUAGCUCUAGAAGGGGCAGCUGUGCCCUGCUCCCUUCCCUCUGGUCAGAUUUGUGC
RNAcentral lists this long non-coding RNA (1982 nucleotides) under Equus caballus (horse). RNAcentral's name for it is "lncRNA (ENSECAG00000053599.1)". Lineage: Eukaryota; Metazoa; Chordata; Mammalia; Perissodactyla; Equidae. The record is from RNAcentral.